Non-coding RNA from Kogia breviceps (pygmy sperm whale), 392 nucleotides. The record is from RefSeq and is a predicted model, not a curated record. Lineage: Eukaryota; Metazoa; Chordata; Mammalia; Artiodactyla; Physeteridae.
CUCUCCACCAUGCAAGGAUACAGCCAAGCCAGGAAGAAAGCCUUCCCCAGGAACCAAAUUCAUCUGGCACCUUUAUCCUGGGCUUCCCAGCCUCCAGAACUCUUUGCUUUCAAAGAACUACAUUACCAUACAGUAUGCCUCUCUCUCAUAAUUGGAGAAACUGCAUAUCAGCCUAUCAUCACAGACUCAGCAUAGGUGUCACUUCCUCUAAGAAGCAUACACAAGCCUCUCUUAUGUGUUCCCACAGCAUUAUUUAUUUUCUUUAUUAAAGCACAUAGGAAAGUAUUAUAUGGUCAGUGUCUAUGUGUGACUAAAUUACUACAGUACCUCCAGCUCUUUAACAGAGUUCCUGGCACAGAGUUGAUGUUCAAUAAAUAUUUGUAGAAUGAAUU